RNAcentral lists this ribosomal RNA (758 nucleotides) under uncultured bacterium. RNAcentral's name for it is "bacterial SSU rRNA". It matches the Rfam family "Bacterial small subunit ribosomal RNA", at positions 193 to 929 of the family's 1533-position model. The record is from RNAcentral.
CAAAAGGGUGAAAGUCGGCCACUGGAACAAGCCGACGUUCGGGGAUGGGCCUGCGUCCUAUCAGCUGGUUGGUAGGGUAACGGCCUACCAAGGCGACGACGGGUAGCUGGUCUGAGAGGAUGAUCAGCCACACUGGCACUGGAACACGGGCCAGACUCCUACGGGAGGCAGCAGUGAGGAAUUUUGCGCAAUGGCCGCAAGGCUGACGCAGCAACGCCGCGUGGGUGAAGAAGGCCUUCGGGUCGUAAAGCCCUGUCAGGUGGGAAGAACGACACGGGGAGGAAUAUGCUCUGUGAGUGACGGUACCACCAGAGGAAGCACCGGCUAACUCCGUGCCAGCAGCCGCGGUAAUACGGAGGGUGCGAGCGUUAUUCGGAAUUACUGGGCGUAAAGCGCGUGUAGGCGGCCAACCAAGUCUGAUGUGAAAGCCCUGGGCUUAACCUGGGAAGUGCAUUGGAAACUGGCUGGCUUGAGUACUGGAGAGGAAGGGGGAAUUCCCGGUGUAGAGGUGAAAUUCGUAGAGAUCGGGAGGAAUACCAGUGGCGAAGGCGCCCUUCUGGACGGUUACUGACGCUGAGACGCGAAAGCGUGGGGAGCAAACAGGAUUAGAUACCCUGGUAGUCCACGCUGUAAACGAUGAGCACUAGGUGUAGCGGGUACUCAUUCCUGCUGUGCCGUAGCUAACGCGUUAAGUGCUCCGCCUGGGGAUUACGGUCGCAAGACUAAAACUCAAAUGAAUUGACGGAAUCCCGCGGCCA